AUUGAACGCUGGCGGAAUGCUUUACACAUGCAAGUCGAACGGCAGCACGGGUGCUUGCACCUGGUGGCGAGUGGCGAGCGGGUGAGUAAUACAUCGGAACGUACCCAGUUAUGGGGGAUAACUAACCGAAAGGUUAGCUAAUACCGCAUACGCCCUGAGGGGGAAAGCGGGGGACCGUAAGGCCUCGCGUAAUUGGAGCGGCCGAUGUCUGAUUAGCUAGUUGGUGAGGUAAAGGCUCACCAAGGCGACGAUCAGUAGCAGGUCUGAGAGGAUGAUCUGCCACACUGGAACUGAGACACGGUCCAGACUCCUACGGGAGGCAGCAGUGGGGAAUUUUGGACAAUGGGCGAAAGCCUGAUCCAGCCAUUCCGCGUGAGUGAAGAAGGCCUUCGGGUUGUAAAGCUCUUUCGGCAGGGAAGAAACGCUCUGGGAUAAUACUCCGGGGUAAUGACGGUACCUGAAGAAGAAGCACCGGCUAACUACGUGCCAGCCGCCGCAGUAA
Molecule: ribosomal RNA, 502 nt
Filed under: uncultured bacterium
Lineage: Bacteria
Description: partial 16S ribosomal RNA
Rfam family: Bacterial small subunit ribosomal RNA
Source: RNAcentral